Molecule: long non-coding RNA, 763 nt
Filed under: Gopherus agassizii (Agassiz's desert tortoise)
Lineage: Eukaryota; Metazoa; Chordata; Testudines; Testudinidae
Description: lncRNA (ENSGAGG00000003217.1)
Source: RNAcentral
GUGGUGAGCUGCCCUCUAAUUCUUCCGCGGGAGAUUUGUCCUCCCCCCCCCCNGCCCCAGUGGCUCUCCAGGACCUCUGUGUCCCCUCAGAGCAAUGGCAGGGUAAUAAUUUACUUCCUGGCAUAAGCCACUCCUUGAGAAUAUUCCUUUUGACCUUCAGACUAAUUCACCAAAACAAAAACAGAGAGGGGGUGUGUGUAAAUAACACCCUUAUGCAACUGGUACUAGUUACACACUCGGCUUUCUCCAGUGCUGCAUGACCGGACAGCCCUGUCUGGUUGACUUUCUCCUUUUGGCAGAUCUUAUAAAGCACGGGUGUGAGAGGAUAGAACAGACCAUCAAGGCCUCGGGCUCCAGGCUGUGCUCCUAUGCGGAAAGAGUUGUCUUCUUAAUGGACCGUUCCAAACACCCGGAUAACAGUCCCCAGUAUUCUUCAGCCACACUGGCAGCAUCACCAUCAAGUUGACUGCAGAUCUUGAGCCAUGACACGGUGCCCAAAAAACUGCAUCAGGCUGGACACUCUUAACUCCCCACCUGCAUGUUUGAUUCAUUCCUGCCACGAGAAUCCUGCAGGGCUGCAGUGAGUCCAUGCUGAUCAUGGUCCUUGUGCUUCACCUGUGACUGUUCCUCCAGCUGAUCCCCUGGCAGGGCUGUAGAUCCCCUUCACUUCCCCUGGAGCUCAGCUGGUCAAUCGCAUGCCUCCAUAGGUGGGGAUUCUUUAGCUCCACCCCAUGCUUGGACCGUGUGUGUGUGUGUGUGUGUG